GAUUAGUAGAUGGUUUGAACGGUUGGAUAUAACCGUGAGGAGGAGGAUAGCAAGGGAAGGAGCUUUUGGACGCCGACAUUGAUCGAUGGACUUUAAGUGUAUGACUGUUGGAGGAAAUGUCGGUCAUCUUUUGGGAGUGUAGCCGAAUAUAGAAGACUACGGCAUUUUGAUGUACCGAUGAACAAUGUCCAUCUGGUUUAAGUAAAUAAAAGGU
Molecule: long non-coding RNA, 214 nt
Filed under: Eucalyptus grandis
Lineage: Eukaryota; Viridiplantae; Streptophyta; Magnoliopsida; Myrtales; Myrtaceae
Description: long non-coding RNA (EGRA_LNC001896)
Source: RNAcentral